RNAcentral lists this long non-coding RNA (1879 nucleotides) under Medicago truncatula (barrel medic). RNAcentral's name for it is "long non-coding RNA (MTRU_LNC000196)". Lineage: Eukaryota; Viridiplantae; Streptophyta; Magnoliopsida; Fabales; Fabaceae. The record is from RNAcentral.
GAGCCGUUGCCAAAAGAAUCCGAAAGAAUAAUAUAACAUUAGUAAAGCCAGUGAUUGUUCACUCACCUCAGUUACGGUACUCACUACUCUCUGCGCCGCCGCCGUCUCGUCUCCGCCGCAGCUCCGUUUUGCUUCAACCGAGGUACUUCUCUCUCUGUAAUAUCUCUGUUUUGUUUCGCUUUUACGAUUUCUCCAUUAGAAACUUUUCACUGAAAACUGAAGAAGAUGCAUGUUGUUACUAUUUCACUAAUACUGUUCUGAUUCAUAGUAUUGAUUUUAGUUUACACAACUGUAUUCAUUGCUCAUUUUUUUUAAAUGAUUAUCGGUGUUGACGUGUCCGGUGUUCGUGUCUGAGUCCAUGCUUCGUAGGAUUGGAUGCCUGUGUAGAAAAGUUUUACAUUGUUAGUGCAUAGUAAUUAAUCUUUUAGAAUAUUUAAAACUUGUUUUGGAUUGCAUGUAUAAGCCAUGCUUUUGCUUUCUCUCUGUUUGCUGCCAUUUAUUUUUAUGAGAUUUUCUAAAUGAGAGAUUAUUUGCAUAUAAGUGAUUUUGUUACUGUUAGGUGUCUUAGGGUCUGUUUGUUACAGAUUAUAAAAAAACAAUUUUGAUAUUUGAUCAUUAUGGAUGGAGAUAACUUACCCUUAAUCAAUUUUCGAGUGAGAUGUUUCCAUCCAUGGUUAUUGAAUAGAGUGGUUAACGGCGAGAUAUUUCAAGCACUCAACAUUUGAAAGAGAUUUUAUAUUUCUCUCUCUUCUUUUAAAAAUGAUUUUAUUCAAAAGCUAAACAAAAUAGAUAUUUCAUUUGCAACGUAAAAAUUGGUUUUUUUAACAUGGUUUUUGAAAAAAACUUGCACACAAACAUAACUAAAACAUCAAAAAUGAUUUUUUAUAAUCUUAUACUAACGGGCCCUAAGCAUAGUGCACAAAAAGGGCUGAAGAACAAACUUUUUCUGAGGUGUAGCUCUGGCGUAUUUUUGUUUUUGGUAGAUGUAGCAAGCAAGCAAUUAAGGGUCAUUUGUAGAAAAUAUUGUUUCAGAAGAUUAUGGUAAAAAUCAUUGUACAAUCGAUAAUUGUUUUCUUCACAAAGAAUGUUAGCUGCCAUUGUUUGAGCUGUUCACAUUUGUACCAAUUUGAAUUUUGAACUACUUGCAUUUCACCUUUAUAUCGCCUUUGUUUGUGCACAUUGCUUCCUUUGUCUCGAGUUUCAUCACUGUGGGUGUAUUUUGCAGGUAGAUUUCAUUUUUUUCGACUUUUUUUAUAAGAUGAGAAAGAACGGAUUUUUUUGGUGAAAUGGGGAAGUGUAUGGAGAAUGUUCCUUAGAAUGUUUGUUAAUGUUUUGCUUGGUUGAAACAUGGUUUAGUAUCUUUGUUUUUUAAAUUUGAAUUGUGGUUUCUUUCAAAUCACAAAGUAGUUAUUCAUUUGUUUUUUCAUGCCACUUUUUGUUAUUCUACUUUAUGAAUGGUAUAGGCAUGAUUUUAAAUUGCUGAAGUUGCAGAGAAUGAGGAUGAAUGCAUCUAUGUGGUUUCUGGUUGUAAUUUAAAAUCAUGUUGUAGAAAUUAUCUUAAUCUAUGAUAUUAUCCAUGAUGUGGGAGUGUUAUGAUGAAGUCUUUGUCAUCAUAUCCCUUAAGUGCUUAAAAUUUUAAGUCAAAUACUUGAAUAUCCUUUGCAUUUUUACAUUCAUGCUUCUUUAGAUUUUUCAAUUGAUGAGUAUAAUGCACACUGAAUAACACAGGUUAUUUCUACAACAUUCCCUGCAACACACUCAAAAGGGAUAUUUAUUUGUGAGGAAAUGGCGUCAUCAUCAUUGGUGGAAUCUCUUGUUCUUCAACUCCAUGAGAUAUCAGCUGUGAAAUUCGGCAACUUCAAGCUCAAAUCUGGCAUCU